GGAUUAGAUACCCUGGUAGUCCACGCCGUAAACGAUGGAUACUAGGUGUUGCGGGUAACCACUCCUGCAGUGCCGCAGCUAACGCAUUAAGUAUCCCGCCUGGGGAGUACGGCCGCAAGGCUAAAACUCAAAGGAAUUGACGGGGGCCCGCACAAGCGGUGGAGCAUGUGGUUUAAUUCGACGCAACGCGAAGAACCUUACCUGGGUUUGACAUCCCGAUCGUACUUUCUGGAAACAGUUAGGUCAGUUCGGCUGGAUCGGUGACAGGUGCUGCAUGGCUGUCGUCAGCUCGUGCCG
RNAcentral lists this ribosomal RNA (297 nucleotides) under uncultured bacterium. Its description in RNAcentral is "partial 16S ribosomal RNA". It matches the Rfam family "Bacterial small subunit ribosomal RNA", at positions 775 to 1067 of the family's 1533-position model. The record is from RNAcentral.